GUGAGGAAUAUUGGUCAAUGGGCGCAAGCCUGAACCAGCCAUGCCGCGUGCAGGAAGACGGUCCUAUGGAUUGUAAACUGCUUUUAUUUGGGAAUAAACCUCCUUACGUGUAGGGAGCUGAAGGUACCAAAUGAAUAAGCACCGGCUAACUCCGUGCCAGCAGCCGCGGUAAUACGGAGGGUGCAAGCGUUAUCCGAAAUCAUUGGGUUUAAAGGGUCCGCAGGCGGUCAUAUAAGUCAGUGGUGAAAGCCUACAGCUCAACUGUAGAACUGCGAUUGAUACUGUAUGACUUGAAUUCGAUCGAAGUGGGCGGAAUGUGACAUGUAGCGGUGAAAUGCUUAGAUAUGUCACAGAACACCGAUAGCGAAGGCAGCUCACUAGGUCUGGAUUGACGCUCAGGGACGAAAGCGUGGGGAGCAAACAGGAUUAGAAACCCCAGUAGUCC
RNAcentral lists this ribosomal RNA (445 nucleotides) under uncultured bacterium. RNAcentral's name for it is "partial 16S ribosomal RNA". It matches the Rfam family "Bacterial small subunit ribosomal RNA", at positions 354 to 796 of the family's 1533-position model. The record is from RNAcentral.